UGUCCCAGAACAUCUCCAGGGGGUUUGGGGUGUCCCAGAACAUCUCCAGGGGGUUUUGGGGUGUCCCAGAACAUCUCCAGAGGGUUUGGGGGUGUCCCAGAACAUCUCCAGAGGGUUUGGGGUGUCCUAAAACAUCUCCAGGGGGUUUGGGGUGUCCCAAAACAUCUCCAGGGGGUUGGGGGUGUCCUAAAACAUCUCCAGAGGGUUUUGAGGUGUCCCAGAGCAUCUCCAGAGGGUUUUGAGGUGUCCCAGAACAUCUCCAGAGGGUUUUGAGGUGUCCCAGAACAUCUCCAGGGGGUUUGGGGGUCUCACAUUGGUGGGUCCUGGGUGAUCUGAGAAGGUUCCAAGACUUUGGGGUGUCCAGGGUGGCAUUUGUCCCCAUUUGUCCCUGUUUGUCCCUGUUUGUCCCCGUUUGUCCCCAAGGGAUGGAGGUGGCCCCAUGGACAACAUCUCCAGAGGGUUUGGGGGAUGUCCCAAAACAUCUCCAGAGGGUUUGGGGGUGUCCCAGAACAUCUCCAGGGGGUUUGGGGUGUCCCAGAACAUCUCCAGAUGGUUUUGGGGUGUCUCACUUUGUUGGGUUCUGGGUGACCUGAGAGGGUUCCAAGAGUUUGGGAUGUCCAGGGUGGCUUUGUCCCCAUUUGUCCCUGUUUGUCCCCAGGGGAUGGAGGUGGUCCCAUGGAUGACAUCUCCAGAGGGUUUGGGGUGUCCCAAAACAUCUCCAGAGGGGUUUGGGGUGUCCCAGAACAUCUCCAGAGGGUUUGGGGGUCUCACAUUGGUGGGUCCUGGGUGAUCUGAGAAGGUUCCAAGACUUUGGGAUGUCCAGGGUGGCAUUUGUCCCCAUUUGUCCCUGUUUGUCCCUGUUUGUCCCCAUUUGUCCCCAAGGGAUGGAGGUGGCCCCAUGGAUGACAUCUCCAGAGGGUUUUGGGGUGUCCCAAAACAUCUCCAGGGUGUUUUGGGGUGUCCCAAAACAUCUCCAGAGGGUUUUUGGGUGUCCCAGAACAUCUCCAGAGGGUUUGGGGGUGUCCUAAAACAUCUCCAGGGGGUUUGGGGGUGUCCCAGAACAUCUCCAGAUGGUUUUGGGGUGUCUCACUUUGGUGGGUUCUGGGUAACUUCAGAGGGUUCCAAGAGUUUGGGGUGUCCAGGGUGGCUUUGUCCCCAUUUGUCCCUGUUUGUCCCCAAGGGAUGGAGGUGGCCCCAUGGACAUCUCCAG
Molecule: long non-coding RNA, 1210 nt
Filed under: Zonotrichia albicollis (white-throated sparrow)
Lineage: Eukaryota; Metazoa; Chordata; Aves; Passeriformes; Passerellidae
Description: lncRNA (ENSZALG00000009778.1)
Source: RNAcentral